AACGUACGCUGGCGGCACGCCUAACACAUGCAAGUCGAACGAAGUAGCAAUACUUAGUGGCAGACGGGUGAGUAACAUGUAGGUAUCUGCCCUUUGGCCUGGAAUAACACGAGGAAACUUGUGCUAAUACCGGAUAAGUCUUUACGGAGAAAGCUUUAUGCACCAUUGGAUGAGCCUGCACUUGAUUAGUUUGUUGGUGGGGUAAUGGCCUACCAAGACUGUGAUCAAUAGCUGAUUUGAGAGGAUGAUCAGCCACAUUGGGACUGAGACACGGCCCAAACUCCUACGGGAGGCAGCAGUGGGGAAUCUUGCACAAUGGAGGAAACUCUGAUGCAGCGAUGCCGCGUGAGUGAAGAAGGCCCUUGGGUUGUAAAGCUCUUUCGUCGGGGAAGAAAAUGACUGUACCCGAAUAAGAAGGUCCGGCUAACUUCGUGCCAGCAGCCGCGGUAAUACGAAGGGACCUAGCGUAGUUCGGAAUUACUGGGCUUAAAGAGUUCGUAGGUGGUUGAAAAAGUUGGUGGUGAAAUCCCAGAGCUUAACUCUGGAACUGCCAUCAAAACUUUUCAGCUAGAGUAUGAUAGAGGAAAGCAGAAUUUCUAGUGUAGAGGUGAAAUUCGUAGAUAUUAGAAAGAAUACCAAUUGCGAAGGCAGCUUUCUGGAUCAUUACUGACACUGAGGAACGAAAGCAUGGGUAGCGAAGAGGAUUAGAUACCCUCGUAGUCCAUGCCGUAAACGAUGUGUGUUAGACGUUGGAAAUUUAUUUUCAGUGUCGCAGCGAAAGCGAUAAACACACCGCCUGGGGAGUACGACCGCAAGGUUAAAACUCAAAUGAAUUGACGGGGACCCGCACAAGUAGUGGAGCAUGUGGUUUAAUUCGAAGAUACGCGCAGAACCUUACCAACACUUGACAUGUUCGUCGCGACUUUAAGAGAUUAAAGUUUUCGGUUCGGCCGGACGAAACACAGGUGCUGCAUGGCUGUCGUCAGCUCGUGUCGUGAGAUGUUGGGUUAAGUCCCGCAACGAGCGCAACCCUCACUUUUAGUUGCCAUCAUUAAGUUGGGCACUCUGAAAGAACUGCCAGUGAUAAGCUGGAGGAAGGUGGGGAUGACGUCAAGUCCUCAUGGCCCUUACGUGUUGGGCUACACACGUGCUACAAUGGUAUCUACAACAGGAAGCAAGACUGCGAAGUUAAGCAAAUCCUUAAAAGAUACCUCAGUUCGGAUUGCACUCUGCAACUCGAGUGCAUGAAGCUGGAAUUACUAGUAAUCGUGGAUCAGCGUGCCACGGUGAAUGCGUUCCCGGGUCUUGUACACACCGCCCGUCACACCAUGGGAGUUGGUUCUACCUUAAGGCAAGGUUUAAAACCCUUGACCACGGUAUAGUCAGCGACUGGGGUG
Molecule: ribosomal RNA, 1397 nt
Filed under: uncultured bacterium
Lineage: Bacteria
Description: bacterial SSU rRNA
Rfam family: Bacterial small subunit ribosomal RNA
Source: RNAcentral